RNAcentral lists this ribosomal RNA (237 nucleotides) under Triticum aestivum (bread wheat). RNAcentral describes it as "partial small subunit ribosomal RNA". Lineage: Eukaryota; Viridiplantae; Streptophyta; Magnoliopsida; Poales; Poaceae. The record is from RNAcentral.
AUGGUUGAACUUAAAAGGCAUGUCAUGUUUCCUACUGUUUAUCAUCUCAUUGAGUUGGCAUUGCUACUACCAGUAGCGAUGACAACAGUUGAAAGGGCCUUCUCAUCAAUGAAAAUCAUCAAUACUGAGUUGCGUAGCAAGAUGACCGAUGGUUGGCUUAAUGACUUGAUUGUUUGUUAUAUUGAGCUACAGAUCUACAAAAGUAUUGAUCUUGGUAAAAUUAAGGAAGAUUUUUAG